Long non-coding RNA from Notolabrus celidotus (New Zealand spotty), 1338 nucleotides. RefSeq lists it as uncharacterized. The record is from RefSeq and is a predicted model, not a curated record. The transcript has 2 exons. Lineage: Eukaryota; Metazoa; Chordata; Actinopteri; Labriformes; Labridae.
CCAAAUGCGUCCCCCCGCUAACCAUAACAGGAGUCAACAGAGAAGCUUUCGGGGUGGAGCAGCUCUGCCAACACAUUCGGCAGAAGUAAAAAUGGAGCUCGGAGUCAGUCAGCGAUAAAAAAUUAUGAACCGUCACGUAUCAUCCGUCCCUUUACUCACUAGUCCGCCUUUUGAUCUGACGAAGAAGUGAUCGCAGAAACCAGUGGGGCAGCCUCUGCUUGUAUGGCGGGUCUGUCUUAUUUAGUGCUCCGAUUUUCGGGCUCCGCUGGUCGGACUUACGGAGUGUUUUCAAAAGGCUUGACGAGGACUUUGUUGAUAUUUUUUGAUCUCGCAUGGCGACUGCGAAUCAGGUUCCCCUACAUCUACCUUGUCGCUUCGAUGAUGUUUAAUGUCAGAUUGCAGGUCCACAUAGAAAUCCACUGAAUCAUCAAUGCCUGUAUUUGCACUUGGAUUCGGUACACCAUAAGCACUGCCAUGAUUCAGACCUCUGUCUGACACUGCACAGCCAUGUGGAGGAAGAGGAGGCUUGUUUCUGCAAACUGCUGUCACAGUGCAAUGAAGUGACGAGGCUCGCCGCCGUCUGCCCUCGUCACUUGAGUCCAGUGCCUUUGCAGGAGAAAGGACAGCAGUGAUAUCUGCAAAAGAAAUGAGCCGCGGUGAUGGGUGAGAAGAUGCCUCACGCUCACCUGUGUGGAGUGCCACCUGAGAUUCAAGAGCCGUCAGUCCUGACCAGGAGGAUUGUGUCGGAUGAAGGAUGGAUUUUGAUACUGUCUCUCUCUGGAUGUAAAGGACUCUGGCAUGGUUUUGAUUCUGGAAACAGAUGAUUGUCACUGUGUAGCUUUGUAGCUUUUCCUCAUUGUGACCUGUAUGUUUCUUAAACUGUCAGUGUUAACAUCUCACUUUAAUUUAACAGAUAAACCUUGAAACCGCAUGACACAUACAGGCAUGUUUUUGUCCUCUGUGGCAUGGACACUUUACUGGAGGCUGGGGUUAGCUUUUGAAAGCGGUACAUUGUCUUUCAACAGGAGGUCGUUGUAGUAUAACAGUACAGCUACAAUACACCACAACUGUUCUACUGGAAAUUUAGUCUGUUAUUAUUUCAGUCUCACAGGGAUUCACCGCAUGUAUUCUUUGUGUUGGUACACGCAGGUCUUCAUGCUCAUUGUUGUGUUUCAGCCGCACUGGGAAAAGGCUUUGUUGGUGAAAAAAGUUACAUCCAAAAAAAUAUUGUAGCUGCAUCUUUACUUCUGUGAAAAGUGUUUGUAAGGGUUACUGAAGUCACUGAAUUAAGGGUCUGGAUGAAUUGAUUUUGGAAGUAUUAAAUUGAUGAAAUCACCA